Molecule: ribosomal RNA, 515 nt
Filed under: uncultured bacterium
Lineage: Bacteria
Description: partial 16S ribosomal RNA
Rfam family: Bacterial small subunit ribosomal RNA
Source: RNAcentral
GAUGAACGCUGGCGGCGUGCCUAAUACAUGCAAGUCGAGCGAAUGGAUUAAGAGCUUGCUCUUAUGAAGUUAGCGGCGGACGGGUGAGUAACACGUGGGUAACCUGCCCAUAAGACUGGGAUAACUCCGGGAAACCGGGGCUAAUACCGGAUAACAUUUUGAACCGCAUGGUUCGAAAUUGAAAGGCGGCUUCGGCUGUCACUUAUGGAUGGACCCGCGUCGCAUUAGCUAGUUGGUGAGGUAACGGCUCACCAAGGCAACGAUGCGUAGCCGAGCUGAGAGGGUGAUCGGCCACACUGGGACUGAGACACGGCCCAGACUCCUACGGGAGGCGGCAGUAGGGAAUCUUCCGCAAUGGACGAAAGUCUGACGGAGCAACGCCGCGUGAGUGAUGAAGGCUUUCGGGUCGUAAAACUCUGUUGUUAGGGAAGAACAAGUGCUAGUUGAAUAAGCUGGCACCUUGACGGUACCUAACCAGAAGGCCACGGCUAACUACGUGCCAGCAGCCGCGGUAA